This 543-nucleotide long non-coding RNA is filed under the name Nicotiana tabacum (common tobacco). RNAcentral's name for it is "long non-coding RNA (NTAB_LNC014789)". The record is from RNAcentral. Lineage: Eukaryota; Viridiplantae; Streptophyta; Magnoliopsida; Solanales; Solanaceae.
AUUCAACUUCCACGUAUUAUCUACUACAGACGCAAAAGGGGAGGUUCAGAAAAUGCACCCAAUACACGAAACAACGUGCAAAAUCACGCGAGAAGACAGUUAAUAAAACGAAUUAAUUAAUACUCCAAUAAUUCAAAAACUCAUUACAGCGAAAAUUCAUUUAAAUAAAACAAUAAAAACAAAGCCAAGCACAUGACACCUUGACCUUUUAUAACCCCCCUCAUCAAUCUCAGAUUCACCAUUAAUUUAAUCGAAUUAUCAAAUCCUUCAAUUGUCCCAUUAUCCACAAUAUCCCACAAAAAAAAAAAAUUAAAAUUGAAGGAUUCUUACCGGAAAAAAUCAAUUGAUUAAAUAUGAAGUAUGAAUUGGUAAAAAUAAGAGGGGAGAUAAAAAGAGAGAGCUAGGGUUUUUCUGGUAAAAAAGGAGAGAUCUGAGAGGGAAUUAAAUUAGAGCGCGGGCAUUUGUGUACAAAAUGAAAAUAAAUAUAAAAAAAGUUUAUGGGGUUUUUGGAUUGGAUGAGAGAGAAAAUAAAAUGAGGGGAAG